This is a long non-coding RNA of Crotalus tigris (Tiger rattlesnake), 462 nucleotides long. RefSeq lists it as uncharacterized. The record is from RefSeq and is a predicted model, not a curated record. Lineage: Eukaryota; Metazoa; Chordata; Lepidosauria; Squamata; Viperidae. The transcript is spliced from 3 exons.
AAUAUGUAGAGGCAGCUUGAGUAAUAAAAGAAAAAAUAUGGAGCAAGCAAGUGAAAGCCAGUAACCUAAUAAAAUGGUAUGACAUCUUAGUCCUAAAAUGGAGAAAUCUGCCCUUGCCUGAAGAUAAAGACAGAAUGUAUAUACAAAUUCAAACGCUAUGAAUCUUCUGAAAAAAUAUCUUUAAUAGCUUAGACCGCCAGGCUCAGCUUCAGUGCAGACUACUUCCCAUCAUUUUGAAGCACCAACAAAAUUACUUUGUCUGAAGAGGCUUGACCUAAUCUGUGUGAGGCUUUGGGAAGAAAGUGAAGCACCCUUAUUUCUCCUGAUAAGAAGAGCAACAUCUUAACAGUGUUCCUGUUGUUGGAUUUUAAGCAAAGAGGGAUGAAAGAAACCUAUUCACAAUCCAUUAAUGUACCUUGGGUAUGAAUAAAAUCUGCAAACCAAAGUGAGUUGAACUUUACC